ACUCGUUAAGGCUGAGCUGUGAUGGGGAGAAGACAUUGUGUCUUCGAGUCGUUGAUUUCACACUGCCGAGAAAAGCCUCUAGAUAGAAAAUAGGUGCCCGUACCGCAAACCGACACAGGUAGUCAAGAUGAGAAUUCUAAGGUGAGCGAGCGAACUCUCGUUAAGGAACUCGGCAAAAUGACCCCGUAACUUCGGGAGAAGGGGUGCUCUUUAGGGUUAACGCCCAGAAGAGCCGCAGUGAAUAGGCCCAAGCGACUGUUUAUCAAAAACACAGGUCUCUGCUAAACCGUAAGGUGAUGUAUAGGGGCUGACGCCUGCCCGGUGCUGGAAGGUUAAGAGGAGUGGUUAGCUUCUGCGAAGCUACGAAUCGAAGCCCCAGUAAACGGCGGCCGUAACUAUAACGGUCCUAAGGUA
Molecule: ribosomal RNA, 414 nt
Filed under: Staphylococcus aureus
Lineage: Bacteria; Bacillati; Bacillota; Bacilli; Caryophanales; Staphylococcaceae
Description: partial 23S ribosomal RNA
Rfam family: Bacterial large subunit ribosomal RNA
Source: RNAcentral